Molecule: long non-coding RNA, 4184 nt
Filed under: Homo sapiens (human)
Lineage: Eukaryota; Metazoa; Chordata; Mammalia; Primates; Hominidae
Description: HSALNT0383767
Source: RNAcentral
UCAAAAAAAAAGAAAAAAGAAAUGUUAUGAAUUGGUAACAUCAGUCACAUUCCUACAACUUGCUGGUGCCUGGCACUGACCCGCAGCAGCCUCUGAGAUUACUAAUAGGCUGAGUGUAGGAGUAGCCUGGACCAUGUCUCCAUGGGUGUGGGGGAUAGCUCUUCUGAAGAAAGACUUAGGCUCAGUAUUUAGGAAACCUGAAAUGAAAGUGAGCCCACCUCUGUUUACCUUGUAGGAAGCUGAGCUAAGUGAGCAGCUGAAGAUGAAGGGAAGCCCAGAGGUUUUGCAGGUCACCAGAAAAGCCCUAAUUGAAGGAGGUACUAUACAAAUUUAGAAGAAAUGGUGCGUGAUUGUUUACAAAAGGUUCCUGAAUUUUCAGUGUUUGGCAGAGGAGGAGACAUGGAGAAAUACUGAAACUCCUGCUAAAGGACACCCCUUCAAAGGGCAGGCGCUGUGCUGGGCUCUGGGACUCGUGGGUGAACUGCACAGAGCUGGGCCCUGCCUUCAGGGAAAGAAGACAAUAAGCAAAACAUACCCAAAGAGAUGGUUACAAAGACAGCGAGCACCCGGAAGGAAAAUGGAAGCUGCCAGGAAAGGGGCUCCUGGGCCUACUCACCAGGAAGUCCAGUCCUCACCAGCCCGGAGGCCUGGUCUGCAUCCUCAGCCUCACAGAAGCUCAACCAGUCACUUAAAACGAGAUUGCAGUGAUGUUUUACAACUCUGUGAACGCACUAAUAGCCACUGAAUUCUACACUAACGUGUGCAUUUUAUGACAGGAGUGCUGCAUCUGGAUGGCAUGGCAGAGGGAAGCCCCAGCUGCCACUGCUCCAGGGACCCUUAUAGUUCCACGGUGAUGGGGAACAGAAAGAGGCUCUUCCAGGAAACAGCCUUGGGGACAAGGAGACCACACUUCUGGGUGAUUCGAAGAUCAGACAAGGCUCCUGUAAAAUGAACGAAUGAAGUGAAUGAAUGAGACGGAGUUGCACUGUUAGAGAUGGUGGCAGCAGUGUGAAUCAAAUGAAGUCCCUGCUCUCCCGGUUGUGGCCACGUUAGUCCAGCCCAGAAGAGUCUCCAGGGGCCCGAGCAUCUGUCCUCACAUCAGAACUAGCUUUGGGAUUGUGACUUUGGGGUUGCUUUGUUGGCUUCCUUUUCCUGUCAGGCAGCAUAUAGGGCUGGGGGCUGUCAACCGCACCCUCCCUGAAUCUACGUCCAUCACGAGUCCCCUUGCAGGGCCUUCUUUUUUUUUGACCCAGCGUCAGUCAUGUAACUUGCUUUGGCCAAGUGAUGUCAGCAAGUGGGAUACAAGCAGAGGUCUGAAAAGUGCUGGCAAACGGGGCUUGCUCGCUCGGCUCUGCCACAGUGUGAGAACGUGCCUCGACUCGCCUGCCGGUGGACAGCACACUUGGAACAGGACUGGUGUCGCCAGCUGCCCCAGCCGAGGCCACCCUAGACCAGCCAGCAGCCAGGACCAUGGCCCGGGCGAGUCCAGCCUGCAUCACUGGCUGCAGACUCGUGGGCUAAAUAAUUGCUCAUUGCUUCAAGUCACUGAGUUUCAGGGCAGUCCGUCCCAUAGCAUUAUUGUGGCAGUGGUCACUGAUGGGGCAGUAGGAGGGCUCCUGUCAGUACCAGGAGCUGUUGGCUCCUGUCAGAAAGGACCUAGUGGUAGCCAGUGUGGACCUGGAACAAGAGAGUGGGCCUUAAAACGAGGAUCUCCAGGCACCAUGUGGGGCUGAGCCUCAUAGGCAGCCAUUCCUGAAGCGCAGGAGGUGGUAGGAAAUUAGGAGGCAAAGGCAUGAGAUGCUAUGGCAGCUUCCCUGAGCGGGGACGAUGGGCACCACUCAUCGGUGGGCACCGCAGGGUGAGUCAGUUCCCGGCCCUGCUGCUUGAACUCAUCUCCCACAGGCACAGGCUGGCCGUGGGAGUCCGCGGGCCACGUGCAGUCUCCUCAUUCCCACCUCCUCCAGGUUUCCUUGCAGCCUCCACCUCCAGGGCUGAGUCAUGAGCUCAUGGCCCCAGGGAAGGAGAAGCUGGAAAGGCCUAGGACUUCAAGGUCACAGAGCUGUCAGCCCUCUGGGGAACUGCCUUGGUAGAACAGAGUAGCCACCUCACCCAAGGCAGCCCCCAGCCAGGGACGGAUCAGCUUGGGGGCGUAAACCUUGGUCCCCUCACCGCAGCUUGGUGCAGCCUGCAGGGCCACCCCAGCUCCGGGGCUCCUGAGACCAGCUUCUCCCUCGGGCCAUCCUGCCUGUCCCAUUCUGUCCCCUUCCAUCAGGGCUGACCCCCAGAGGACACCCUAACAAUUCCCUGCAGCCCAGGCUCCACCUCGGUGGGUAGCAGCUUCCCUGAAACCAGUGGUGCUUCUCAUUCAGUCCCUGCAGGCUGAGAAGCAGCCUGAAGGAUCUCCACUGCUUCCAGGCGAGGCCCCAGGGAUCUGCUGAGAAUCUGGCUGGUUGGCUUGCCAGGAAACAUCACUGUGAGUGUGAAGUGUCCCAGCCUUUGAGGGCCGCACGCCCACUGCCCAGGCAAGGGCUGAAUGGGAGCUUCAGAACUCAGGAGAUCACAGUGUGGGCGAGCCUAGGCUGCAGGACGGAGCCACAGCAAGGGUGACACAGGUUGCCAGUGCCCUGUGGAGGACACCACAGAACCCCACGGCAGCCCGGGCCUGCCGCGCCUGCACUGUCACCCACUUGGGGUGGAGCAUUCUUCUCUGCAACCAGCUAUAGGAAAUACAUAGUCUUAUAAUCUUUGUCCACCUGAGGAAUUACAGAUGGUCCCUGGCUCCUGGUGCCUCAAUUUAUGAUUUUUUGACUUUAUGAUGGUUUGAAAUAUUGGCAGUUUUGAUGAAUGUACAGUAUUCAAUAUAUCAUGUGAGGUAUUCAACAUUUUAUGAUAAAAUGGGCUUCGUGUGGCAUGAUUUUGCCCAAUUGUAGGCUAACCUGAGUGUUCUGAGCAUGUUUAAGGUCCACUAGGCUAAGCUAGGAUGUUCGGUAGCUUAGGUGUGUCAAAUGCAUUUUCAACUUACGAUAUUUUCAACUUGGAAUGGGUUUACCUGGAUGCAACCCCCAUGUAACUCGAGGAGCACCUGUAUGCGUCAAUUGCCUUCACCCUCUAACAGGGUGGGUGUGAGGGCUGCCAUGUCAGAGAAAGCAGGCCUGGAAUGGCGGUCAGAAGAGGAUUCUGGAAAUUCUGAGGUUUCCUAACAAGGCCCCAGUCAUGGCAGGAGGCUCUGAGGGCUCCACUGGGGCCGGAGAGGCUGCUUCCAGGCUCUCUCUGGCGUCCCUUGCUGGGGCUCCAGGCCUUCUCCAGCUGCUGGUGGCAGACCUGGAUCACAGGGCUGCUCAGUACAAGGCAGCUGGCUUUUCCCAGAGCAAGGGCUCUGAAGGGGAGGGAACAAGAGAAGGCGGGCAAGGUGGGGGGCACAGGCGUUUUGUAGCCAAAUAAUCUUGGAAGGGACAGCCCAUUACCUUUGCCAGAUUCUACUUAGUUGAAGCCAGUCCCUAGGUGACAGGAAUCACGAAGGCCAUUGGAGAGGCUGCCUGCCCUACGGGAUUGCAGAGGGGACGAGGCCCAGCAAAGUCUGUGGAGCUGGAGGAUGCCACGCCCAUUCAGGACGAAAUGCAGAAGGACGCUGCAGAGCCUGCUUCUCUGUUCCUUCGCCUCACUGGGGCAGACCAGCUGCGGCCAGCCUGUGCCCACUCCUCGCGGACCUGGGUACUGCUUCCAGAGAUCCUUCAGUCCUGGGAGUUUAAUCAUUCUGUCCCGGCCUCUUUGCUCCCAGCCCUCCCCUGGCAGUUGCUGCUCUAUUGUUCUAGCUCAGUUUUCACUUUUUGCCCUUGCAAUGCACAAGGGUUAGCAAUUCUUGAUGGUACAGUCUCUCUGUUCGAAGAGCUGGGGUGGUUUCUACUUCUAGCUGGACCCUGAGUGAUCCUUCAGGCAGGGGUCUCUGCGACUGGAGACAUGCUGUGUGCAUGAGGUCCCAUGUACACUCAGAUUGCAUCCCCCAUCCCUGCCCAGCCCUGAGAGGCAGGCGAGACAGUCCCCCUCUCACCAUCUCUGGGGUGGGCCUGGAUUUAUUGGCUGAAGAAUUACACCCUCUUUGAUGGUAUGCAGUUUAAUUCCGUAGAUCAAAGCUAUGUCUAGAUUUUAAAUAAAUGAUAGGGAUUUAAAAUUGUAUAUAAAACACA